This 100-nucleotide transfer RNA is filed under the name Actinomycetota bacterium. RNAcentral describes it as "tRNA-Ser". Lineage: Bacteria; Bacillati; Actinomycetota. The record is from RNAcentral.
GCCGCGUAAGGCGGCAGAUCUAUCAGAUUUGCAGGUUCUUCCUGCUACUUGGCCGCGGUUUCCUAAACCGCGUGCGCUGGUUCGAUUCCGGCCGGGGGCA